Myxocyprinus asiaticus (Chinese sucker) is the source of this 1630-nucleotide RNA transcript. It is a transcript of the gene named endothelin-1-like, with no coding region annotated. The transcript is spliced from 5 exons. Lineage: Eukaryota; Metazoa; Chordata; Actinopteri; Cypriniformes; Catostomidae. The record is from RefSeq and is a predicted model, not a curated record.
AGUUGAUGCUCAGAAUUGAUCCUUGGACUAAAAUGGAUUUGUUUAGGAGGAUAUUUUUUAUGUAGCUGGCCUAGGAAUCUGGAAGGCGCGUCUGACAACUUUUUCACAAAUAACGAUUCGUCGCGCGUGCACGCUUUUGAUACGGACGCUGGUAAAAUGGCAAAACAUCUUCUUGAUGCUGUUUUAUUGAUUAUGUGUAUGGUAAACAUUUUCACCGAGGGUGCACCAUUGUCCGGGACGUUUGAGAGUCAAGACGCGCAACUGCCCUCUUCUGCUGAGUUUUCUUCUGAUGCCCUGAACGGUGUUUUACAUCAGCAGACUGAAACAGCGCUCAAUGACACAUCACACACUCGCGUGAGAUCCAAACGCUGCACCUGCUACUCUUACAGCGACGUGGAGUGUGUCUAUUACUGUCACCUGGGCAUCAUCUGGAUCAACACUCCACAGCGCACAGUUCUAUACGGCCUGUCUAGUUACCGCAGCCCUCUGCGAUUGAGACGCUCCAGUGGCACAAUUGGGUUUGUGCUUCAUCGCUGCACAUGUGCAGACCACAACGAUGUGUUAUGCCACAACUUCUGUGAUUCAAGAACACAGAACAGAGUACCAGACAGAAUUGAAAGGACAAUCCCCUGAGUAAAAAAUCUUCACUUCUCGAGAGAUCUGGACUCAUGAUUAACAUGGCACCUUUCUAGGCACAGGUUUUGAAUUUUACAGACUAUGAUUUGGAGCAGCAGCUACCCGACAUUCCUCACCAUGCAUUUCCUGGAACACUCUUGACUCAUCUGGUCCACGGUACCAAGUGCAUUCUUCAGAAAAUACAUUGCAGAUGAAGCAUGUCUUUAAGACCCGAAUCUUUGCUUCAAGGAAAUCUAGAGAAUCUCCAGAUGUCAUGUGCAGCUUUAAGAGAGCCUUUAGAGCCUUCUUUCACAGUUUCUUGGCCAGAUGACCUUUCCUUCUCCUGGAUCUCUUCUGAGCUUCCGAAGUUUUGUCUGUAAAACAUAUUCAUAUAUACCCCCAUUUUCUGAUGAAUAUUUCUGUUUUCUUCCCAACAAUAAACAUGUUUCUAUCAUUGUUCACAUUUGUAGUACUCUGCAAAAGUCUCAGGCACAUUAGAUGGUUCACAGAAACAUUUGUCUUAAGAUGGUUAUUUUCUAUCUUUUGCUUUAGUGUGUCAGUAGGAAAUAUCAGUUUUAGAUUUUAACAUCUUUAGCACAUAGAACAAGAAGCCAUACUAUAAAUCUGGGAUUAUAUGAAGCAAUUAAGGCAACCUAAAUCCAUAGAACUGUGUCAAGUUUUUCAUGAAUCUUGGAACACCCUACCUGCCAACAUUGUUGAAAAACUUUGUGCAAGUGUACCUAGGAGAAUUUGUGUGGUUUUAAAGGCAAAGCAUGGUCACACCAAAUAUUUAUUUAGCUUUUUUAUGUUUACUGCACUUUGUAUGAAGGUAUCUGAUUAAUAAAAGCUAUUAUGACAUUAUUUUUGAAAACACACUUUACAGCAUUUUUCAGAAAUGCCUAAAACCUUUACACAGUACUGUAUAUUAAACUUUUCAUAAACAGUUUAAAGCAGUUCAGAAACUUUUCAGGAUUAAUUUUAAAAGCUAAUACAUUGACACCAUCUUCUGGACAAU